UAGGGAAUCUUCGGCAAUGGGCGAAAGCCUGACCGAGCAACGCCGCGUGAGUGAGGAAGGCCUUCGGGUUGUAAAACUCUGUUGUUCGGGAAGAAGGGAAAGGGUAGGACCCUUAGGUGACGGUACCAAACGAGAAAGCCCCGGCUAACUACGUGCCAGCAGCCGCGGUAAUACGUAGGGGGCGAGCGUUGUCCGGAAUGAUUGGGCGUAAAGCGCGCGCAGGCGGUCCUUUAAGUCUGAUGUAAAAGCCCGCGGCUUAACCGCGGAAGGUCAUUGGAAACUGGGGGACUUGAGGCUAGGAGAGGGAAGUGGAAUUCCUGGUGUAGCGGUGAAAUGCGUAGAGAUCAGGAGGAAUACCGAUGGCGAAAGCAACUUCCUGGCUUAGAACUGACGCUGAGGCGCGAAGGCGUGGGGAGCAAACAG
Molecule: ribosomal RNA, 423 nt
Filed under: uncultured bacterium
Lineage: Bacteria
Description: bacterial SSU rRNA
Rfam family: Bacterial small subunit ribosomal RNA
Source: RNAcentral